UACACUUUAAAUCCUUUAACGAGGAUCUAUUGGAGGGCAAGUCUGGUGCCAGCAGCCGCGGUAAUUCCAGCUCCAAUAGCGUAUAUUAAAGUUGUUGCGGUUAAAAAGCUCGUAGUUGGAUCUCGGUUUCACUCAGGUGGUACACCUUGCGGUGUUCACUAUCUGGGUGGACGUUUCUGUUGGUUCGCUCUUGGUGCUCUUCAUCGGGUGCCAUUUGGUGGCCAGCACGUUUACUUUGAAAAAAUUGGAGUGCUCAAAGCAGGCGUUACAGCCUGAACAUUAGUGCAUGGAAUAAUGGAAUAGGAUCUCGAUUCUAUUUCGUUGGCUUUCGGAGUCGAGGUAAUGAUUAAUAGGGACAGACGGGGGCAUUCGUACUGCGACGUUAGAGGUGAAAUUCUUGGAUCGUCGCAAGACGAACUACUGCGAAAGCAUUUGCCAAGAAUGUUUUCAUUAAUCAAGAACGAAAGUUAGAGGUUCGAAGGCGAUCAGAUACCGCCCUAGUUCUAACCAUAAACGAUGCCAACCGGCGAUCCGUCGUCGUUAAUUGAAUGACUCGACGGGCAGCCUCCGGGAAACCAGAGUGUUUGGGUUCCGGGGGAAGUAUGGUUGCAAAGCUGAAACUUAAAGUAAUUGACGGAAGGGCACCACCAGGAGUGGAGCCUGCGGCUUAAUUUGACCCAACACGGGAAAUCUCACCAGGCCCGGACACCGGAAGGAUUGACAGAUUGAGAGCUCUUUCUUGAUUCGGUGGGUGGUGGUGCAUGGCCGUUCUUAGUUGGUGGAGCGAUUUGUCUGGUUAAUUCCGAUAACGAACGAGACUCUGGCCUACUAACUAGAAGGUCUAUCCUUUAUGGGUAGGCCUCUGCUUCUUAGAGGGACGGGCGGCGUUUAGCCGCACGAGAAUGAGCAAUAACAGGUCUGUAUGCCCUUAGAUGUUCUGGGCUGCACGCGCGCUACACUGAAGGAAUCAGCAUGUUCUCCCCUCCCUGAAAAGGGCGGGUAACCCGUUGAAACUCCUUCGUGAUGGGGAUUGGAGAUUGUAAUUAUUCUCCAUGAACGAGGAAUUCCCAGUAGGCGCGAGUCAUCAGCUUGCGUCGAUUACGUCCCUGCCCUUUGUACACACCGCCCGUCGCUACUACCGAUCGAGUGAUUUAGUGAGGACUUCGGACUGGUCUUCAAGUUGGCUUCGGUCGGCUCGAAGUUCCGGAAAGAUGCCCAAACUUGAUCACUUAGA
RNAcentral lists this ribosomal RNA (1234 nucleotides) under metagenome. RNAcentral describes it as "SSU rRNA". It matches the Rfam family "Eukaryotic small subunit ribosomal RNA", at positions 519 to 1777 of the family's 1831-position model. The record is from RNAcentral.